AGAACGAACGCUGGCGGCAGGCCUAACACAUGCAAGUCGAACGCCGUAGCAAUACGGAGUGGCAGACGGGUGAGUAACGCGUGGGAACAUACCCUUCGGUUCGGAAUAACUCAGGGAAACUUGAGCUAAUACCGGAUACGUCCGAGGUUUUAAUCGACCUUGGAGAAAGAUUUAUCGCCGGAGGAUUGGCCCGCGUCUGAUUAGCUUGUUGGUGAGGUAAUGGCUCACCAAGGCGACGAUCAGUAGCUGGUCUGAGAGGAUGAUCAGCCACAUUGGGACUGAGACACGGCCCAAACUCCUACGGGAGGCAGCAGUGGGGAAUAUUGGACAAUGGGCGAAAGCCUGAUCCAGCCAUGCCGCGUGAGUGAUGAAGGCCUUAGGGUUGUAAAGCUCUUUUACCGGGAAGAUAAUGACGGUACCGGGAGAAUAAGCCCGGCUAACUACGUGCCAGCAGCCGC
This 458-nucleotide ribosomal RNA is filed under the name uncultured bacterium. Its description in RNAcentral is "SSU rRNA". It matches the Rfam family "Bacterial small subunit ribosomal RNA", at positions 26 to 518 of the family's 1533-position model. The record is from RNAcentral.